This 828-nucleotide ribosomal RNA is filed under the name uncultured bacterium. Its description in RNAcentral is "bacterial SSU rRNA". It matches the Rfam family "Bacterial small subunit ribosomal RNA", at positions 8 to 833 of the family's 1533-position model. The record is from RNAcentral.
AGAGUUUGAUCCUGGCUCAGAUUGAACGCUGGCGGCAGGCCUAACACAUGCAAGUCGAGCGGUAACAGGGGUAGCUUGCUACCCGCUGACGAGCGGCGGACGGGUGAGUAAUGCAUAGGAAUUUACCCGAUAGAGGGGGAUAACCUGGGGAAACCCAGGCUAAUACCGCAUACGUCCUACGGGAGAAAGGGGGCUUUGGCUCCCGCUAUCGGAUGAGCCUAUGCCGGAUUAGCUGGUUGGUGAGGUAAUGGCUCACCAAGGCGACGAUCCGUAGCUGGUCUGAGAGGAUGAUCAGCCACAUCGGGACUGAGACACGGCCCGAACUCCUACGGGAGGCAGCAGUGGGGAAUAUUGGACAAUGGGCGCAAGCCUGAUCCAGCCAUGCCGCGUGUGUGAAGAAGGCCCUCGGGUUGUAAAGCACUUUCAGCGAGGAAGAACGCCUGGCGGUUAAUACCCGCCAGGAAAGACAUCACUCGCAGAAGAAGCACCGGCUAACUCCGUGCCAGCAGCCGCGGUAAUACGGAGGGUGCAAGCGUUAAUCGGAAUUACUGGGCGUAAAGCGCGCGUAGGUGGCUUGAUAAGCCGGUUGUGAAAGCCCCGGGCUCAACCUGGGAACGGCAUCCGGAACUGUCAGGCUAGAGUGCAGGAGAGGAAGGUAGAAUUCCCGGUGUAGCGGUGAAAUGCGUAAAGAUCGGGAGGGAUACCAGUGGCGAAGGCGGCCUUCUGGACUGACACUGACACUGAGGUGCGAAAGCGUGGGUAGCAAACAGGAUUAAAUACCCUGGUAGUCCACGCCGUAAACGAUGUCNACAACCCGUUGGGUGCCUA